AAAAUAAAACUCAAUAAUAUGAUAAACAUGCAUAUAUUUCAUUCUAAAAAGUUUACUUAUUUUUUCAGUGAACAAAUGCGUAAUUUUAACUAAGGGUAUUUUAGUAAUUUUGAAUCUUCCAUUCCAAUCUAUUCUAAUUCGAAAAGAAAGUAAAUACAUUAAUAACAAUACAACUCAUUUUGAUUAUAAUUUAUGUAGUUCAGGUAAACAACUUUUUCUAAUUCACAUUCCUCAUUCCAAUUCCAAUAUAUUUCGAUUCCAACCUUAUUCCAAUUCUACUAAGCAAACACACCAUAAAUGUUAUCCACUGUGCCCAACAUAUAUUGCUGUCAAUAAACAACAUGAUGUAAUGUUUAAAUAUCUAUUAACUUAUCUUUUGUGAAAAAUUGGGAUUGAUUUCUGAAAUUUUAGUUUAGAGAAUUCAACCAAUGUCGUGUUAAAUAGAGAGAAUUUGAAAAAAGCCUCUUUUACAAAAGAACAAAAGGAUUCGAAGUUAGGUUUAGCCAUUUAAUUUUUAACAGUUGGCUUUUUAUGGUUCUUGGUUGGGUUGGGUUAUUUGGGUUUAUGAUAAUGAAUUCGAUCAAUAGUAGAUCUAUAAAAACGAUUUAAUGGAAGCUAAUUUACAUAAGAUAAGAUGUGAAAACUAAAAAUUUUAUGGGUUAAUAAGUUAUGGAGGUUAUUUUGAUAUAUUUAACGGGGGCUAAAUUAAAUAAUAGUAAAACCUCUCAUAUGGAUUACUAUAAGCUUUCGUUUUUUCAAUUAAAAUACGAGAUUUUAAAAUUCUUAGAAUUGAAGCUUAAAUUUUAUGGAUUUACGAGUUUAUGAGACUAUUUUUAUAAGUUUAAUAGAUACUACUUUAGUGGAUUUAAUAGGAACUAAUUAGUAACUUAAGUAUUAUUCUCUUUAUUUUAUUUUUUAUUUUUUUGAAAUUAUUUUAUCUAUCAGAGGCUUAAGUCUCUAUUAUCAUGAGGUUCAUUGCCUCUGAAUCCAAUGCAACUCCAUCAUUAAUCGGGUUGAAAAAUAUUGAGCCAAUCAACCUAUUAUAACUUAAUCAGUCCAUUUAAAUUUAAUUGGGUCCAGUGGAUUGGAUUAAGCUUUCGCACCCUUGGGACUGAUGGUUCUUGCAUGUGGAAAAUUGAAACAUUUUAGAAUACUCAUAUUGUUAUUGUGCCAACCUCCGAUCAUCAUGAAUUUUUUGUUUUCAGCAUUUCAUCUCCAACUUCGGGAAAAUAGCAAUGCACAAAGGACGUUGAGAAGAAUUGUUCAUCAAUAAUAAUAAUAAUAAUAAUUUGUAGACACACUUUUUUAAUAAUUUCUUAAUGGUUUCAUUAUUCAAUUUUCUGUUUCUUUAAAAUUGUUUAUCAUUUGUGAAAAGAAAAUGUGGGUUUAUUUAGAUAUAUACUUUUGCAUUUUAUAAUUUCACGGGUUUAUAUUUCAUACUAUUCCACUUCAUCUUUAGCCAAAUGUUUAGCCUUCCAAGUGCCAAACCCACCACCAUUGAAUGUAGCAAUUUAUUUUUCCCAUUUUUAUGUAUGGAAUUUCUGACAAAUAGGAUAAAAAAUAAAAAUAAAAUGUUUUUUCUUGAUUGAAUAUAGAAUUCAUGACUUUAGGACACAUAAGAUAAGGGUCACAUUACCUUCGUAAAUUGACUAUCUUCAUAUUAUUGUUCCUAUUUUUAAAAAUUCUAAUUUAUUUUAUAUUUUUGUUAAGAAGACUAAAAAAAUUCAUUAACCCAUUUCUAUUUUCUCCUUAUCUUUAAAAUAAAAUAAGAAUGACUGCAAGUUUUAAAAAUAAAAAAGAUAAUUUAUAGAUAAUUAAUUUAUGAGAGGAUUUACCCCCAUAAAAUAUGAUCCCAUUAAAUUCCACAAAGGACUUUAAAAUUCUAGCACUACCCGUCUCACCUUUGAUCGAUGAGAUGAGCGACAAGUAGGAGGGGCAAAAUCGUAAUAUGAAAAAUAAAGGAUUCCAGCAUAAUCUCUCCAUUAUGGAUGGCAAAAUACUCCACGGGUUUGCGCCCCAUGAAGUCCCACCCCAAAUGGGAAAAAUUUUAAAUAAUUUGUGAGGAAUGGAGUGGGGAGUGGGGAGUGGGAAGAAAAUAAUCUUCAAAUAUUUAAUGGGGGUACGGUUUAGUUUUGCACUCCUCACCUCAAUCC
This 2153-nucleotide long non-coding RNA is filed under the name Citrus x clementina. RNAcentral's name for it is "Citrus clementina (C. clementina) long non-coding RNA (CCLE_LNC003909)". The record is from RNAcentral. Lineage: Eukaryota; Viridiplantae; Streptophyta; Magnoliopsida; Sapindales; Rutaceae.